Molecule: non-coding RNA, 30 nt
Filed under: Rattus norvegicus (Norway rat)
Lineage: Eukaryota; Metazoa; Chordata; Mammalia; Rodentia; Muridae
Source: RNAcentral
UCCCAAGUAUUCAAAUGUUAUGAUGGGGGA